AAAUUAGAAUGAAAAAGCGAGUGAACAAAAUUGAGCAGCUUCAGAACAUUUUGAUGUAGCAGGUGUGCACGAGAACAUAACUGCAGAAGUAGAUGAAGAGUCUACGUGCUGGCUCCUGCAUGUCCAGGGUUCCAGAGCAUUACGUUUCCAUCAGGAUGUAGAUCCCAAGAAUGCCAGAGAGCACCAAGCAGAGGAUGAAACAGGCAAUUAUUUGCAGACCCUGCAGAUCUCCGUUUUUGGUGCUGACGCAGAAGUCCAGACAUUAAAACUAACACGUUUUCACAAGAACCACAAAGAGGGAGGAUCCAGGCACAUUUUUUCUUUCUGUAUCACCCUGGAAUGAUGGGGAAAUUUCCCCAAAAACCAUGUGUACUGUGAUUGCAUGUAUUGGGGCAAUACCUCUUGUCCCAUCCAUCAGGAAAGACAUCAAAGCUGAUCUGGCCUCCUGUGAAAAACCUAAGACCUUUUCCUGCAAACCCCUUCCUUGAUCUGCUACAGGUUUUUCUCUUAUAUUUUCUUUUUUAUUGAAUUCGUAGAACUCCAUGUGUUCCUCUUGGCUGCAGCUUCUUCCAAAUAGGGGACAUGUUUAACAUCCCAUUUCAGAAUUCAGUGAAAGUACCCCUCUUCUUCAGCAGUUUAAUUUUUGCAUUGUAGCCCAGACAGCAGUUGAUUAAAUCUUGGAUUAGGACCUCACCCAGGUGACUUUGAAUGCUCGUGA
This 718-nucleotide long non-coding RNA is filed under the name Piliocolobus tephrosceles (Ugandan red Colobus). RNAcentral's name for it is "lncRNA (ENSPTEG00000029502.1)". The record is from RNAcentral. Lineage: Eukaryota; Metazoa; Chordata; Mammalia; Primates; Cercopithecidae.